Molecule: ribosomal RNA, 430 nt
Filed under: uncultured bacterium
Lineage: Bacteria
Description: bacterial SSU rRNA
Rfam family: Bacterial small subunit ribosomal RNA
Source: RNAcentral
UGGGGAAUCUUGGACAAUGGGGGAAACCCUGAUCCAGCAAUGCCGCGUGUGUGAAGAAGGCCUUCGGGUUGUAAAGCACUUUCAGUGGGGAAGAAAUUCUCAAGACUAAUACUCUUGAGCGUUGACGUUACCUACAGAAGAAGCACUGGCUAACUCUGUGCCAGCAGCCGCGGUAAUACAGAGAGUGCAAGCGUUAAUCGGAAUUACUGGGCGUAAAGCGCGCGUAGGUGGAUAUCUAAGUUGGAUGUGAAAGCCCUGGGCUUAACCUGGGAAUUGCACCCAAUACUGGAUUGUCUUGAGUAUAGUAGAGGGAAGUGGAAUUUCCGGUGUAGCGGUGAAAUGCGUAGAUAUCGGAAGGAACACCAGUGGCGAAGGCGGCUUCCUGGACUAAUACUGACACUGAGGCGCGAAAGCGUGGGGAGCAAACAGG